AUACUUACCUGGACGGGGUCAAUGGGUGAUCAAUAAGGCCCAUGGCCUAGGUUGGUGACCUCCAUUGCACACGUAGGAGGGGUGCCCGCUUAAGGUCGGCCCAAGUGGUCGAGCCUACGUUAUAAUUUGUGGCAGCGGGGGCCUGCGUUCGCGCAGCCCCUAC
Molecule: small nuclear RNA, 163 nt
Organism: Lycium barbarum (goji berry)
Lineage: Eukaryota; Viridiplantae; Streptophyta; Magnoliopsida; Solanales; Solanaceae
Product: U1 spliceosomal RNA
Exons: 1
Source: RefSeq, a predicted model, not a curated record